CGCCUGUAGCAAUACAGGUGGCGCACGGCGCACGGGUGCGUAACACGUGGGUAAUCUGCCCUUCGAUGGGGAAUAACUCCGGGAAACCGAAGCUAAUUCCGCAUAACAUUCCUUGAACUUCGGUUUGGGGAUUCAAAGCCGUAAGGCGUCGGAGGAGGAACCCGCGCACGAUUAGCUAGUUGGUAGGGUAACGGCCUACCAAGGCUUUGAUCGUUAGCUGGUCUGAGAGGAUGGCCAGCCACACUGGAACUGAGACACGGUCCAGACUCCUACGGGAGGCAGCAGUGGGGAAUCUUGCACAAUGGGCGAAAGCCUGAUGCAGCGACGCCGCGUGGGGGAUGAAGCUUUUCGGA
RNAcentral lists this ribosomal RNA (353 nucleotides) under uncultured bacterium. RNAcentral's name for it is "bacterial SSU rRNA". It matches the Rfam family "Bacterial small subunit ribosomal RNA", at positions 71 to 422 of the family's 1533-position model. The record is from RNAcentral.